This 454-nucleotide ribosomal RNA is filed under the name uncultured bacterium. RNAcentral describes it as "bacterial SSU rRNA". It matches the Rfam family "Bacterial small subunit ribosomal RNA", at positions 340 to 786 of the family's 1533-position model. The record is from RNAcentral.
UACGGGAGGCAGCAGUGGGGAAUAUUGCACAAUGGGCGCAAGCCUGAUGCAGCCAUGCCGCGUGUAUGAAGAAGGCCUUCGGGUUGUAAAGUACUUUCAGCGGGGAGGAAGGCGGUGAAGUUAAUAGCUUCACCGAUUGACGUUACCCGCAGAAGAAGCACCGGCUAACUCCGUGCCAGCAGCCGCGGUAAUACGGAGGGUGCAAGCGUUAAUCGGAAUUACUGGGCGUAAAGCGCACGCAGGCGGUCUGUCAAGUCGGAUGUGAAAUCCCCGGGCUUAACCUGGGAACUGCAUUCGAAACUGGCAGGCUAGAGUCUUGUAGAGGGGGUAGAAUUCCAGGUGUAGCGGUGAAAUGCGUAGAGAUCUGGAGGAAUACCGGUGGCGAAGGCGGCCCCUGGGACAAAGACUGACGCUCAGGGUGCGAAAGCGUGGGGAGCAAACAGGAUUAGAUACC